UAAUCCCUUAUCUCUUUUUUAAACAUAUUAUUUCAAUGUUUUAUGGUAGGGAGUGAAAGUUGAGACGAAGAAGCAGCCAAGGCGAUGACGAAAUGUGCAGCAAUGGUUGUAGUAGGUUACAGGCCCCUGCUGAGGCCCACAUGCUUGGCUUCAACUUCCAAAAUCAACACAGAGCAGCUUCGUUACCAGCUUGACCAACUACAUGCCGAAGCUGAGACGACCCGAACCAAAGCUAGCAAUGCUAGAUUGAGGUUUUUGCGGUUAUCAGAGGCAGCUGAAAAGCUUCGGCGCCAGGCUGCUGUUAGUAUUCAGAGGGGAAGCGAAAAUGAGGCAAGGGACCUGCUUUUUCAGAAGAAGAAGGUUCUGCAAGCGUUGGAAAAGUCUAAGAGUCGGAUUGAGUUAUUGGAUAAGCUUUCUACAAAGUUUAAUGAGGCAAUAACUGUCAAAGAAACUCAACUAAUUGGGAACAUUGCGUCAGAGACAGAAAUUGGUAGAGAAGAUGAUUCUACUCCAGUUUGGAUUGUAUCUCCAAAGGAGCGAACUGCAAAUGAUAAAAUUCAGAAUAAGGACAUUGCUCAUGAUGCCCGAACACUCUGUGAAGAUCAAAAGUUGCUGCUCCAUACAGAUGAUCCGGUGGAGCAACCUGCCAAUGAGGAGCUAGAGGAACAUCAAGCAUUUCCAAGUUUCAGUGCAUUUAUUGAAGACACUAUAAAUAGUAGCUUGGCAGCAAUAUCAACUUAUGAGGACUUCUUGAAGCAUUUGGAACAACAGCUCAAGAAAAUUGAACAAGAACUUGUUACAGUAUUGAAUGUUUCGACAUUGUUACUGGACGAUGAGAAGCCAAAAAAUUUGAAGGUGCAGCAAACAAGGGAACUUCUUGAGAGUAUCCUUGACAUAAGACAGAGAAUUACAAAUAUGAGGCAGACGAAGGUAGAGAUCAGUUAAGGCUUCACUAUAUCUCAGUCAGGUUCCUACUACCAGUUACUAAAGAAAACUGAGGCUAUCAGCAUAAAGUUACUUAAAACUGAGACACAAUUGGGACAAGUUGUCAAUGGCUACUCUUUAUUCACGAUCAUGAUGUAAAUAUUUUGGGACAAGCAGAAGAAAUCUCUUGCCCACUGCUAAAACAGAACAAAGGAUCAACCUGGCAAAAGCCUAGAAGGUUGCAUUGUUCUUCAUAGGUUUAGGCUUUGGACUCCUCAGCCUUUUUCCUCCAUUCCUAUAAAAUGUAUUCCUUGCUAUUAACGGGUUGAAAAUAUGCAGAAAUUCAGGUUUUUCUGCAGUCGCAUGUUGCGCUAUCAGAUUUCUUGCUAACGUCAACCUUUUGCAAGCUUGCAGUAGAAAAUUUGACUGUGAACAUUUGUGGAUAUAAAAUAAGUGAAGUCCUCAACAAUAAUGACGCUUAAUGAAAAGCUAAGUACCACACUGCCCUGUGCUUUAUAUGGAUCCCAUCCUAGAUUAUGAUCAUGACCUUUCCCUCCAAUCUGAUUCAAGUAACAACAGUUUGACCAGAUAAACACUAUAUCUCCUUAUGUUAGUCUUGCUCCUGCUGAUCUUUGUUGCUCUUUCAAUUAUCAGAAGAGGUAUUAAUCAUGCUGGUUCAUUAUACAUAUGAACUUCAUUCAUUCUAAACUGUCAUGGCAGCAAUUGAGGGAAUCUUUAUGACCAUGAAUUUUAAUU
Theobroma cacao (cacao) is the source of this 1680-nucleotide non-coding RNA. The record is from RefSeq and is a predicted model, not a curated record. NCBI's taxonomy places the organism in Eukaryota, Viridiplantae, Streptophyta, Magnoliopsida, Malvales, Malvaceae.